CGUGGGUAACCUGCCCAAGAGAUCGGGAUAACACCUGGAAACAGAUGCUAAUACCGGAUAAUAACAGAUGAUGCCUAUCAACUGUUUAAAAGAUGGUUCUGCUAUCACUCUUGGAUGGACCUGCGGUGCAUUAGCUAGUUGGUAGGGUAACGGCCUACCAAGGCGAUGAUGCAUAGCCGAGUUGAGAGACUGAUCGGCCACAUUGGGACUGAGACACGGCCCAAACUCCUACGGGAGGCAGCAGUU
Molecule: ribosomal RNA, 246 nt
Filed under: uncultured Lactobacillus sp.
Lineage: Bacteria; Bacillati; Bacillota; Bacilli; Lactobacillales; Lactobacillaceae
Description: partial 16S ribosomal RNA
Rfam family: Bacterial small subunit ribosomal RNA
Source: RNAcentral